RNAcentral lists this ribosomal RNA (301 nucleotides) under uncultured bacterium. RNAcentral's name for it is "partial 16S ribosomal RNA". It matches the Rfam family "Bacterial small subunit ribosomal RNA", at positions 509 to 807 of the family's 1533-position model. The record is from RNAcentral.
CAGUAGCCGCGGGAAUACAGAGGGUGCGAGCGUUAAUCGGAUUUACUGGGCGUAAAGCGUGCGUAGGCGGCUUCUUAAGUCGGAUGUGAAAUCCCUGAGCUUAACUUAGGAAUUGCAUUCGAUACUGGGAAGCUAGAGUAUGGGAGAGGAUGGUAGAAUUCCAGGUGUAGCAGUGAAAUGCGUAGAGAUCUGGAGGAAUACCGAUGGCGAAGGCAGCCAUCUGGCCUAAUACUGACGCUGAGGUACGAAAGCAUGGGGAGCAAACAGGAUUAGAUACCCCCGUAGUCCCUGUCUCUUAUAC